GCGCUCACUUAGGCAGCAUAUAUACAAAAAAAUUGGAAAUCAUACAGAGAUUAGCAUGGCCCCUGUGCAAGGAUGACUUGCAAAUAUGUUUAGUGUUCCGUAUUUUU
Molecule: small nuclear RNA, 107 nt
Filed under: Jaculus jaculus (lesser Egyptian jerboa)
Lineage: Eukaryota; Metazoa; Chordata; Mammalia; Rodentia; Dipodidae
Source: RNAcentral